CCUACGGGAGGCAGCAGUGGGGGAUAUUGGACAAUGGGCGAAAGCCUGAUGCAGCGACGCCGCGUGUGGGAAGACGGCCCUCUGGAUUGUAAACCACUGUUCCCAGGGAGGAAGAUCAGGAUAUCUGGGGAGGAAGCACCGGCUAACAACGUGCCAGCAGCUGCGGUAAUACGAAGGGAGCGAGUGUUGUCCGGAAUGCAUGGGUGUAAAGGGAGCGUAGGGGGGACUGCAAGUUGGGUGUCAAAUCUACCGGCUCAACCGGGUGCCGCACUCAAAACUGCAGUUCUUGAGUGAAGGAGAGGCAGGCGGAAUUCCUGGUGUAGCGGGGAAAUGCGUAGAUAUUAGGAAGAACACCAGUGGCGAAGGCAGCCUGCUGGGCUUUAACUGACGCUGAGGCUCGAAAGUGUGGGGAGCAAACAGGAUUAGAUACCCUAGUAGUC
Molecule: ribosomal RNA, 440 nt
Filed under: uncultured bacterium
Lineage: Bacteria
Description: partial 16S ribosomal RNA
Rfam family: Bacterial small subunit ribosomal RNA
Source: RNAcentral